GGCAGUAAAAGUCGUAACAAGGUCUCCGUAGGUGAACCUGCGGAGGGAUCAUUACAGAGUUCAUGCCCUACCGGGUAGAUCUCCCACCCUAUGUUAUUAUUACUUUGUUGCUUUGGCGGGCCGUUAGGCUCCGGCCCGACUACCGGCCCCGGCUGGUAAGCGCCCGCCAGAGCACCCAAAACCCUGACUAUCAGUGUCGUCUGAGUACUAUAUAAUAGUUAAAACUUUCAACAACGGAUCUCUUGGUUCUG
RNAcentral lists this unclassified non-coding RNA (251 nucleotides) under plant metagenome. RNAcentral's name for it is "partial contains small subunit ribosomal RNA, internal transcribed spacer 1, and 5.8S ribosomal RNA". The stretch from base 1 to 54 matches the Rfam family "Eukaryotic small subunit ribosomal RNA", at positions 1778 to 1831 of the family's 1831-position model. The record is from RNAcentral.